Molecule: transfer RNA, 90 nt
Filed under: candidate division Kazan bacterium RIFCSPHIGHO2_01_FULL_44_14
Lineage: Bacteria
Also listed under: 1 other name
Description: tRNA-Ser
Rfam family: tRNA
About the family: Transfer RNA (tRNA) molecules are approximately 80 nucleotides in length. Their secondary structure includes four short double-helical elements and three loops (D, anti-codon, and T loops). Further hydrogen bonds mediate the characteristic L-shaped molecular structure. tRNAs have two regions of fundamental functional importance: the anti-codon, which is responsible for specific mRNA codon recognition, and the 3' end, to which the tRNAs corresponding amino acid is attached (by aminoacyl-tRNA synthetases). tRNAs cope with the degeneracy of the genetic code in two manners: having more than one tRNA (with a specific anti-codon) for a particular amino acid; and 'wobble' base-pairing, i.e. permitting non-standard base-pairing at the 3rd anti-codon position.
Source: RNAcentral
GGAGAGGUGCAAGAGUGGUUUAUCUGGCAGUCCUGGAAAGACUGUGUACUCGAAAGAGUACCAAGGGUUCGAAUCCCUUCCUCUCCGCCA